CCUACGGGACGCACCAGUGGGGAAUAUUGGACAAUGGGCGAAAGCCUGAUCCAGCAAUGCCGCGUGUGUGAAGAAGGUCUUCGGAUUGUAAAGCACUUUCGACGGGGACGAUGAUGACGGUACCCGUAGAAGAAGCCCCGGCUAACUUCGUGCCAGCAGCCGCGGUAAUACGAAGGGGGCUAGCGUUGCUCGGAAUGACUGGGCGUAAAGGGCGCGUAGGCGGUUUAUGCAGUCAGAUGUGAAAUCCCCGGGCUUAACCUGGGAACUGCAUUUGAGACGCAUAGACUAGAGGUCGAGAGAGGGUUGUGGAAUUCCCAGUGUAGAGGUGAAAUUCGUAGAUAUUUGGAGGAACACCGGUGGCGAAGGCGGCAAUCUGGUUCACAACUGACGCUGAGGCGCGAAAGCGUGGGGAGCAAACAGGAUUAGAUACCCGUGUAGUC
Molecule: ribosomal RNA, 440 nt
Filed under: uncultured bacterium
Lineage: Bacteria
Description: bacterial SSU rRNA
Rfam family: Bacterial small subunit ribosomal RNA
Source: RNAcentral